GACGAACGCUGGCGGCGUGCUUAACACAUGCAAGUCGAACGGAAAGGCCCUGCUCUUGUGGGGUGCUCGAGUGGCGAACGGGUGAGUAAAACGUGAGUAACCUGCCCUUGUCUUUGGGAUAACUUCAGGAAACUGGGGCUAAUACCGGAUAGGAGCUCCUGCUGCAUGGUGGGGGUUGGAAAGUUUCGGCGGUUGGGGAUGGACUCGCGGCUUAUCAGCUUGUUGGUGGGGUAGUGGCUUACCAAGGCUUUGACGGGUAGCCGGCCUGAGAGGGUGACCGGCCACAUUGUGACUGAGAUACGGACCAGACUCCUACGGGAGGCAGCAGUGGGGAAUAUUGCACAAUGGGCGGAAGCCUGAUGCAGCAACGCCGCGUGCGGGAUGACGGCCUUCGGGGUGUAAACCGCUUUCGCCUGUGACGAAGCGUGAGUGACGGUAAUGGGUAAAGAAGCACCGGCUAACUACGUG
Molecule: ribosomal RNA, 468 nt
Filed under: uncultured bacterium
Lineage: Bacteria
Description: partial 16S ribosomal RNA
Rfam family: Bacterial small subunit ribosomal RNA
Source: RNAcentral